GAUGAACGCUGGCGGCGUGCUUAACACAUGCAAGUCGAACGAAGCACUUUGGGCAGAUUCUUCGGAUGAAGUCCUUAGUGACUGAGUGGCGGACGGGUGAGUAACGCGUGGGUAACCUGCCUCAUACAGGAGGAUAACAGUUAGAAAUGGCUGCUAAUACCGCAUAAGCGCACAGUACCGCAUGGUACGGUGUGAAAAACUCCGGUGGUAUGAGAUGGACCCGCGUUGGAUUAGCUAGUUGGCAGGGUAACGGCCUACCAAGGCGACGAUCCAUAGCCGGCCUGAGAGGGUGGACGGCCACAUUGGGACUGAGACACGGCCCAGACUCCUACGGGAGGCAGCAGUGGGGAAUAUUGCACAAUGGGGGAAACCCUGAUGCAGCGACGCCGCGUGAGCGAAGAAGUAUUUCGGUAUGUAAAGCUCUAUCAGCAGGGAAGAAA
RNAcentral lists this ribosomal RNA (440 nucleotides) under uncultured bacterium. RNAcentral's name for it is "bacterial SSU rRNA". It matches the Rfam family "Bacterial small subunit ribosomal RNA", at positions 28 to 450 of the family's 1533-position model. The record is from RNAcentral.